UAUUGCUUCUAAGAUGAUUGAGUGGUAUAGAGAUUGCAGGGGGGAGGUCCAGCAGGCUGUGCUUCUCCCCGGCAUAGUCUUAUUUCAUACCUGCGCAUCU
Molecule: small nucleolar RNA, 100 nt
Organism: Sorex araneus (European shrew)
Lineage: Eukaryota; Metazoa; Chordata; Mammalia; Eulipotyphla; Soricidae
Source: Ensembl